UUCGCCGAGGGGCGCUGCGACCGCCAUGAUCAAGUGCGGCCAGGCUCGGCGCGGCUUCACGUACAACGGCGCCCGGUUGUU
RNAcentral lists this non-coding RNA (81 nucleotides) under Novilysobacter spongiicola. RNAcentral's name for it is "Lysobacter spongiicola SAH sequence". It matches the Rfam family "SAH (S-adenosyl-L-homocysteine) riboswitch aptamer". The record is from RNAcentral. RNAcentral also lists the same sequence under 1 other name. Lineage: Bacteria; Pseudomonadati; Pseudomonadota; Gammaproteobacteria; Lysobacterales; Lysobacteraceae.